Molecule: ribosomal RNA, 269 nt
Filed under: uncultured prokaryote
Description: partial 16S ribosomal RNA
Rfam family: Bacterial small subunit ribosomal RNA
Source: RNAcentral
GACGAAGGUGGCUAGCGUUGAUCGAAAUCACUGGGCUUAAAGCGCAUGCAGGCGGACCGUCAAGCGUCAUGUGAAAGCCCUCGGCUCAACCGAGGAACUGCAUGGCGAACUGGCGGCCUUGAGGCAGGUAGAGGCGAGUGGAACUCUUGGUGGAGCGGUGGAAUGCGUAGAUAUCAAGAGGAACACCAGAGGCGAAGGCGACUCGCUGGGCCUGUCCUGACGCUGAGAUGCGAAAGCCAGGGGAGCAAACGGGAUUAGAUACCCCAGUA